UGAUGAGUAUAAAGAGGAAGCUUUAGAUGCAGAGAAGGAUUAUGCUUAUGAUGUUGAUGUGAUUCAAGCGCUAUGAGCUUGGAGGGGAUGAUCGCCAUGAGAUCAUCUCUACGGUCGCUAUGAGAUCGUAUUUCUAUUCAUUGUGAGUGUCUUGCUAGUUGUAAUCUGACAUUGAAGAUCAAUAAAGGAGGAAGAGAUAUCUUGAGUCUAUCAUAAACAUACUUAAAUUAACCAAUGAUUUCAUUAAUGUUAUUCUUUUACGCAUGAUUUUACAUAAUCAUUGGGUUAAACCUAUAUCCAAUAUGUGUUUUCUUCGGAAAGCUCAUUGUAGCCGAUGUCGUCUGGAUCUCGAGUCAAAAAGCUAAGUAAUUUACUAUGAUGGUUGAAUCAUACGAAUGGGUGGAGAGAGUAAUGAAGGUGAGAUGGGUUAAUAUUAUGAAGAUGAUGAAAGUGGGAUCUCAAAAGUUGGAACCACAUCAGUGCUUUCGUAUGCAAAGAUAUGUCAUUUAUUCUCUUCUGCAGAUUAGGAACUGCAAUGUCUAUUUUUUAAUGCUUUUCUUAUCCACUUUGUAUUACAUGGUUAGGAUGAGAAAGGUUUAAUUUGUGUUGCAUGAGAUAUCUGAAUUUUUAUUGUGUAAUUUCUUUAUUUUGGUCUCAGUGAUUCAGAUUCUGGUAUUGUCUCCAUCAAGGGAACUUGCUUCACAAACAGAGAAGACGAUACAGUCUAUUGGAGUACAUACCAAUAUUCAGGCACAAUAUCCAUCAAGCGUCUUUUCAUGUUUGGUGAUUGUGGAGAUGGUGUCACUGGUCAGAUUGGUCAUUUUCUUGGUUGGUUCCAACAAGAAAGUGGAAAGUGUUGGAAUAUUGAUCAGAGCUGGAGAGUCUCAUGAGGAUCGUCACCAGGUUUCAGAUGAUGGUGUUCUUGGUGCUUCAACAAUCAGCAAAGAAGGCAAGUCAUAGCCGAAUCGAAGCAGAUAAUGUAGAUUUUGGUUUGGUAGCAAUAGGUUUGAUUCUCAUACGAGAACUAUCAGGAAUAAAACAAAAACUUUUGACAGUGGUUUGUGCUGAUUGAUAGUGGUUUGUGCUGAAACAAGUGGUUUCACAACCUUUUACAUAAAUUUUUAUUUUUAUUGUCCUCUAAAAAUCUAUUUAUAUAAAGUAGAGUUCCCUCUCUCCAGGGCUCUCCACAUCAGAUGCCACGUCAGUAAUUCGGAAGCCCUGAAGACGACACGUGUCUGUCACUUACUCUCCAAAUGCAACGCUUCUUUAAUUGUGUAUCGUCUUUUUGUUUUUGUAUAUCGUAGGGGCUUUUGAAAUUACUAUUGGGCUUAAGAUCAAACUGUUUUUUCGGCCCAGUCAACCUUAACUCUAAUCUGUAUACGUGAAAACAUGUGUUUUUCGUUGCUCUACUUUCGACGGCGACGGUGACGAUCGAGAUUCCUCACGGUUUCAAUAACAGAUUCCUUUAUGUGUUUAAUUCCAUUAAUUCAGAGGCCCACUACGAAUUAUUCAUUGUGUCGUUUGCGUCAGCGAGAUCUGUGUUAUCGAGUAUAAAUAAGUCAGAAUUUCUCUUCUUAAAAUCGUGAUCUCUUCAUCUCUCUUCUACUCAUCUCUCUUAUAGUAUACAAAUUCAUUGCUUUUUCUGCACAGUUCCAAUAGAUUUCAUUCUCAUAUAAUGGUCAAGCAGUCUCUUCUACUUGCUGACUUGAAUGUCUGCCGGUGUUCUUCCGUGCCCAGAUUCUGGGAAGCAAACUACCAAUAUAUAGAGGAUAUAUAGUUGUUCUCACUUGAUUUGAUUUUUUCUUUUUUUGUAGGAUGUUGGAAAAGCUGUGUCUGAAGACUUAUCAUAUUCUCUAUGUAGACAAAACCAUGAGAGACAAAACCAUUGGUUAGUUUCCUUUCAUCAUCCCAGUUCAUGGUUAAUGGGAACAGAAUAGUUUCCUUCCUUCUGGAAACAUCAUAUCAUUGGUCACGACAGUGUGAUGGCAUCCACCGUGAACAUAACCAAAAUGAAAAAGAAUUUGUUGUAAUGUACAGUGCUGGAGUGCACACACCUAGAGAAGAGAAUGGAAUCUUCCCAGCUCAGAACUAGGAACCUCACAACCAGUGACUUAGUAAAAGAUUACCUGCAUUAAUUGAUGGGUGGAAGAUCGAGUGUUGAAGAAGAUAUUCUCUGCCAGUUCACCUUCCCUGAGAGACCUGGUGCUCUGAUGAACUUCCUGGACUCUUUCGGUCCACGUCCACUUCCUGAACUUCCUAGCCUUUUCCAUUACCGUGAGGGUGGGGCAGGCGCGGACGUGCUGGUUGAGAUCCAAGUGCCGGAGCAAGAAAUGGUGAGUUAAGAAACCGAGCUCAAGUUCUUGGAUAUGAGUACGUCUUGGUAAGUGAAGACACCGUUUUCAAGCUUCUUAUGCACUGAGUUUAAAGUUGUACAUGGAGAGAUCAAAACCAAGAAGGAAGUAGAAGAAACAUGAGAGGUCUUCCUUGCGGUUGUAAAUCAAAGUAGAGGCGCAUGGGUUCGAGUUAUUUUUGACAAUCCAGUAAAUUAAGGAUCUAAAGACACGACAACAGAAUCUCGAUGGAGUCGAUUAGAUUGUCAUCGCAACAGAAAUAGACAAGAGUUUAUUGGAAUCGAGAAGCUCUUGGGUUCUGUUCAGACAAAACAGCUGCAAAGGGAUUCAGUGAACGGAGAAACUUGGAUGUUAACCAAGAUGGAGUUCUUUGGUGUGGAGAAGAAGAUAAAAUGGGAUUUUUGUUUGGUUUUUGGUUGAAGUUGGGCCAGGUGGAGAUUAAUAAUGGGCUUCAUUUUUAAUUUUGUUAUGCAGUAGUUCACUCUAAAACCAAACUUUGAGAUACUUGCACAAAGACAAGUCGGUUAAUUUUGUAUGUGAAAUAGAAAAAUAAAACGUUCA
Molecule: long non-coding RNA, 2912 nt
Organism: Raphanus sativus (radish)
Lineage: Eukaryota; Viridiplantae; Streptophyta; Magnoliopsida; Brassicales; Brassicaceae
Exons: 8
Source: RefSeq, a predicted model, not a curated record